GUGGGGAAUAUUGGACAAUGGGCGCAAGCCUGAUCCAGCCAUGCCGCGUGAGUGAUGAAGGCCUUAGGGUUGUAAAGCUCUUUUGCCGGGGACGAUAAUGACGGUACCCGGAGAAUAAGUCCCGGCUAACUUCGUGCCAGCAGCCGCGGUAAUACGAAGGGGACUAGCGUUGUUCGGAAUCACUGGGCGUAAAGCGCACGUAGGCGGAUCAUUUAGUCAGAGGUGAAAUCCCGGGGCUCAACCUCGGAACUGCCUUUGAUACUGAUGGUCUCGAGUCCGAUAGAGGUGGGUAGAAUUCCUAGUGUAGAGGUGAAAUUCGUAGAUAUUAGGAAGAAUACCGGUGGCGAAGGCGGCCCACUGGAUCGGUACUGACGCUGAGGUGCGAAAGCGUGGGGAGCAAACAGGAUUAGAAACCCGGGUAGUCC
RNAcentral lists this ribosomal RNA (425 nucleotides) under uncultured bacterium. RNAcentral describes it as "bacterial SSU rRNA". It matches the Rfam family "Bacterial small subunit ribosomal RNA", at positions 354 to 796 of the family's 1533-position model. The record is from RNAcentral.